UACGAAGGGUCCAAGCGUUGUUCGGAUUUAUUGGGCGUAAAGCGCGCGCAGGUGGAUCAGCAAGUCAGAUGUGAAAUCUCGGGGCUCAACCCCGAAACUGCGUCUGAAACUGCUAGUCUAGAGUGUUGGAGGGGGUAGGGGAAUUUCACGUGUAGGGGUAAAAUCCGUAGAGAUGUGAAGGAACACCGGAGGCGAAGGCGCCUACCUGGACAACUACUGACACUGAGGCGCGAAAGCGUGGGGAGCAAACAGG
This 253-nucleotide ribosomal RNA is filed under the name uncultured bacterium. Its description in RNAcentral is "partial 16S ribosomal RNA". It matches the Rfam family "Bacterial small subunit ribosomal RNA", at positions 524 to 776 of the family's 1533-position model. The record is from RNAcentral.